ACGCUCAUUUUGGCAGCACAUAAACUAAAACAGAAACGAUACAGAUUAGCAUGGUCUCUGUGCAAGGAUGACAAAUGAAUAGAAGCAGCACCAAAUGAUGGU
This is a small nuclear RNA of Cavia aperea (Brazilian guinea pig), 102 nucleotides long. The record is from Ensembl. Lineage: Eukaryota; Metazoa; Chordata; Mammalia; Rodentia; Caviidae.